UACGUAGGGUGCAAGCGUUGUCCGGAAUUAUUGGGCGUAAAGAGCUCGUAGGCGGUUUGUUGCGUCGGCUGUGAAAUCCCGAGGCUCAACCUCGGGUCUGCAGUCGAUACGAGCAAACUAGAGUGUUGCAGGGGAGACUGGAAUUCCUGGUGUAGCGGUGAAAUGCGCAGAUAUCAGGAGGAACACCGGUGGCGAAGGCGGAUCUCUGGGCCAUUAACUGA
Molecule: ribosomal RNA, 221 nt
Filed under: uncultured bacterium
Lineage: Bacteria
Description: partial 16S ribosomal RNA
Rfam family: Bacterial small subunit ribosomal RNA
Source: RNAcentral